AAUGUCGAAAUAAGUGUAAACGACACACCGUAUCUGUUAUAAAAUAUUUCCGUGUUUGAGCCGUGGAAUUUUCCUCCGCGACCGCCGCACAGAAUACCCUUGUCCGAUUUUUCUGACGAAACACGCCCUUUUAUACUUAAAUUAUUUUUUUUAUAGUUUGAGAAUGAGAGUUGUUCAAGAGUCUAGUGCGACAAAGAUGGAAACAUU
Non-coding RNA from Cinara cedri, 207 nucleotides. The record is from the annotation of a GenBank genome assembly. Lineage: Eukaryota; Metazoa; Arthropoda; Insecta; Hemiptera; Aphididae.